GACGCGAUUUUUUGUAAAAUUGUGGCAAGUUGUGGUCAAGAAGGCUUUCAAGCGUUUCGUUCAAGAUUCCUACACAUGAUAGAUAGUUUUCAUGCGUGGCAAGUUUUUCGAUGAAUGUUAAUUGUUGGCGUUGGGCAUAUUCACAAAGAGGGACAACAUUUGACGCAGUAUAAAUGACUUCCAAUUCUUUGGCCACUGUUGGGGAAAUAGAGAACCGGAUCGGAAAUCCAUAGAUCAAACGUGGACGGAUUGCUACCUUGUAGAGAAUGAAUUUUGUUUUUUGAAGUAGGUGUUUAUUGUUUAACACAUAUGCCAUCCAAGGACAGUUGUAGUGAUUUGCUCUCUGGGACAACGUACCAUGGGCAUUUUCCGGAUCCGUUACUUAUUCAGAUUGCAACAGACUUCGCGGUGUUUAUUUGAAUACCCCACUUUUUGUAGUAGCUGUUAAUGCUCUGAAGGUGAUUUUUUGCGUUAUUUAAUGCAAUUGACGGUGAUGUAUGAUGCGCUUAAAUGAGGCAAUCAUCGGCGUAUAAAAUUGCUUUUGAAUUUUGACUGAUGUGAGGGAAGUCGUGAAGGAAUAGAUUGAACAGAAAUGGAGCUAAAAUACUGCCUUGUGGGACUCCGCUAUUUACUUCUCCCGUAGGUGAUGAUGCGGCAUUUAUAUGGACGGAAAACGUUCUUGAUGUGAAGAAACUUUUCAUAAUUUUUAUUAAGUAUGGGUCAAUGCCAAUUUCUAUUAACUUGUAAAUAAUUCCGACGUGACAUAUUGAGUCAAAUGCUCUUUGAAUGUCUUACGAUAUUGCCACGGUACUCAUUUUGUUCGCAAAUUAGAGGUUAUAUCGUUAUGGAACAACUUUUCCCAAUGUUGGACAACAACGAAAUUGGCCGAAAGUCAUCAACAAACGCAGCAUUCGGCUUUUUUUAAUUGGAAUGAUUUGGGCGCGUUGUAUUGGAAAAUACCCAUUGUUGAUGCAAUUGUUGAACAGACAAGUGAAAAAUCUUAGGCUGGAAAUACAUAAAGCGCAUAUUUGGCUGGCUUAAGUCAUCGGCUGGCUUCUUCGUAGAUGAACAAAGGAGUUUUAGGUUGACCUAGUUCGAUUUUAGCCCUAGGCUCCUUUGUUCAUUUCGGAAGAAGCCAGCCGAUGACUUUAGCCAACCGAAUAAGCGCUUUAUGUAUUCCCAGCUUUAUUGUUGCGUCCGGAAAUUUUUAAAUUAUAAAGUUUGAUAUGCCAUCGGAUCCACAAGAUCUUUUUGAAUUGGUAGUAGCAAUAACACUCUUUACUUUUUCAGGAGUAGUAAAGUGAUGGGAGUCGGGAUUGUUCAGGAUACUAAAUUCGUCAUUGAAAGUGUAAAUGUAAGGUGUUGUGGUGUCAAUACACGAUGAAACCCUGGAAUUCAGAUCGUGAACUGGAUGUAGAGGCAAUUUCUCUAGGAAAAUUGAAGAAUAAAAUAACUGGAACUUAUUUGCAAUUUCAUAGUUGUUUGUAAUAGUACUGUCGCCGUGUUGAAGUUUUUGACAAAAAGAUGAGUUUGUUUUUUUAGUAAAUUGGGGAAUUUUUUUGAAUGCUGAUGGUCCGGGUUUAAUUUUUUUCAGCUUGUUGCUAAAUAUGUUGGCAGAUUCUAUAUUUAUGAGCUCCUUUAUUAUGUUUUUAAGUAAUUGAACUUGUUUUGAGAGAAUUAUGUACUCACUGUUGAUUCUGUUUCCUGUACGGUGGAAAAUUUUUUUCAGUUCUUUCUGCCAUUGGUGUUUGACUUUAAGAAAGUUUUUAGUUUUUUCGGAAAGAGGGAAUUUUUCGUCAUUUAUGAAUAUCUUUUCUGAAUGAGAGCUGUGAAUGCUGUUAAAUUCAUUGUUGAAGUUCUCGAUGAUCAUUUCAAUCUCAUUGUUUUCGAGGUUUUUAUUUGUCGGUGGCAUAAUUUGUUGUGUUAUUGUCUCCAAAUUUCUACGAAAAUCAUACCAGUUUGUAUUUUUGUAAGAUGUGAAGAAUUUUGGUUGCUUCAGAACUAGAUUGGAACCAUCGAGUUUCAAAGAAAGUUUUAUUGGAAAAUGAAAAGGUCGGCAGCGAAGAUAUGUGGUAGUUUUGAAUUCCAUGGUUUAUUAGAUGUGGGCUGAUUAAGAAAUGGUCCAAGAAAAACGGUCCAUUUGGGUACGACGGCGAGGUGUCACAAAGCCGAGUGACAUCUAAGGAGUUGUUGCUUAGCCACGAAUUCAAAACUUUACCAUUUGAGUUUUCGUUCAAAUCACCCCAUACAGGAUUUUUGGAGUUAAGGUCACCACCGAUGAUAAAUCCAUCAAAAGGAGUACAGAAUUCCAGAAGUUUAUUUAGAUCUGCUUCGAGUCUGUUGACAGGAUAACUACAAGGUAUAUAUACCGUGCCAAUCAAGAACAUUUUAGGUCCGUUGUUUGAAGAAAUUUCUACUUGUAUGAAAGAAGUAUUAAUGCCAAUAUCGUUUUUUAUUCGAGUGAAAGUUAUGUCAUUUUUCACUAUCACUGCUGUUCCAAUAGGUGUUCGAAGGUGGCAUUCUUGAACAAGAGCAAAGUCAAUUUUUUCGCUGUGGAGAAUAUUUUUCAUCGCUAUUUGACGACUCGCUUCAACAAGUGAGCGAACAUUGAAUGUUAGGAAUGUUAUGAGCCUAUGGUCCAUAAUUAGUCCUAAGGCUGGAAAUACAUAAAGAGCAUAUUUGGUUUUCUUUGCAAUUUCAAUAACGUUGUUUGCUCUCAAAAUUAGGUA
Musca domestica (house fly) is the source of this 2729-nucleotide long non-coding RNA. RefSeq lists it as uncharacterized. The record is from RefSeq and is a predicted model, not a curated record. Lineage: Eukaryota; Metazoa; Arthropoda; Insecta; Diptera; Muscidae. The transcript has 3 exons.